This 468-nucleotide ribosomal RNA is filed under the name uncultured bacterium. RNAcentral describes it as "partial 16S ribosomal RNA". It matches the Rfam family "Bacterial small subunit ribosomal RNA", at positions 28 to 507 of the family's 1533-position model. The record is from RNAcentral.
GACGAACGCUGGCGGCGUGCUUAACACAUGCAAGUCGAACGGAAAGGCCCUGCUCUUGUGGGGUGCUCGAUUGGCGAACGGGUGAGUAACACGUGAGUAACCUGCCCCUGACUUUGGGAUAACUUCACGAAACUGGGGCUAUUAUCGGGUAUGAGCUCCUGAUGCAUGGGGGGGGUUGGAAAGUGUCGGUGGUUGGGGCUGGAAUAGCGGCUUAUGAGCUGGUUGGGGGGGUAGUGGCUGACCAAGGCUUUGACGGAUAGCCGGCCUGAGAGGGUGACCGGCCACAUGGGGACUGCGAUACGGACCAGACUCCUACGGGAGGCAGCAGUGGGGAAUAUUGCACAAUGGGCGGAAGCCUGAUGCAGCAACGCCGCGUGCGGGAUGACGGCCUUCGGGUUGUAAACCGCUUUCGCAUGUGACGAAGCGUGAGUGACGGUAAUGGGUAAAGAAGCACCGGCUAACUACGUG